Molecule: ribosomal RNA, 774 nt
Filed under: uncultured Neocallimastigales
Lineage: Eukaryota; Fungi; Neocallimastigomycota; Neocallimastigomycetes; Neocallimastigales
Description: partial large subunit ribosomal RNA
Rfam family: Eukaryotic large subunit ribosomal RNA
Source: RNAcentral
CGCAUCUGUGCAUGCAGCAUAUCAAUAAGCGGAGGAAAAGAAACUAACAAGGAUUCCCCUAGUAACGGCGAGUGAAGCGGGAAGAGCUCAAAUUUGAAAUCUUAAAGGGUUUCCCUUUACGAAUUGUAGUUUAAAGAAGUGUUUUCUGUUGAGGUUUUGGUAAAAGUUCUUUGGAAUAGGACAUCAUAGAGGGUGAGAAUCCCGUAUUUGACCUUUACUUUCAACUUUGUGAUACACUUUCAAAGAGUCGGAUUGUUUGGGAAUGCAGUCCAAAAUGGGUGGUAAAUUUCAUCUAAAGCUAAAUAUUGGCGAGAGACCGAUAGCGAACAAGUACCGUGAGGGAAAGAUGAAAAGAACUUUGAAAAGAGAGUUAAACAGUACGUGAAAUUGUCAAAAGGGAAGCGUUUGACACCAGUGUUGUUUUUCUGAAAAUCAAUUAAAGAACUGUUUAUGCUAAGCUGUUUAGACUUUAUCAGCUAUCUGUUUAGUUUUGAGCUUUUCUUUAAUGCACUUUUCAGUUAACAAGUCAACAUCAAUUUCUUUUGCUGUAAAAAAGCUUGAGGAAGGUGGCUUGAGAUUCGUCUUAAGUGUUUAUAGCCUCUUGCCUAUGCAGUCGGAGAGAUUGAGGUCUGCAGCGUAGAUCCUUCGGGGCUAAAUGCAUUUGUGCUAAGUUAUAGCAUUUUAUAGACAACUUGUUGACUAUGAUUUGUCUUGUAGCUUACUCGCUUAUGUUAUUUUACCUACGCUUAGGAUGUUGAACGCGCGCAGAGUCUC